This 468-nucleotide ribosomal RNA is filed under the name uncultured bacterium. Its description in RNAcentral is "partial 16S ribosomal RNA". It matches the Rfam family "Bacterial small subunit ribosomal RNA", at positions 28 to 507 of the family's 1533-position model. The record is from RNAcentral.
GACGAACGCUGGCGGCGUGCUUAACACAUGCAAGUCGAACGGAAAGGCCCUGCUUUUGUGGGUUGCUCGAUUGGCGAACGGGUGAGUAACACGUGUGUAACCUGCCCUUGUCUUUGGGAUAACUUCAGGAAACUGGGGCUCAUACCGGAUAGGAGCUCCUGCUGCAUGGUGGGGGUUGGAAAGUUUCGGCGGUUGGGGAUGGACUCGCGGGUUAUCAGCUUGUUGGUGGGGUAGUGGCUUACCAAGGCUUUGACGGGUAGCCGGCCUGAGAGGGUGACCGGCCACAUUGGGACUGAGAUACGGCCCAGACGCCUACGGGAGGCAGCAGUGGGGAAUAUUGCACAAUGGGCGGAAGCCUGAUGCAGCAACGCCGCGUGCUGGAUGACGGCCUUCGGGUGGUAAACCGCUUUCGCCUGUGACGAAGCGUGAGUGACGGUAAUGGGUAAAGAAGCACCGGCUAACUACGUG